This 224-nucleotide long non-coding RNA is filed under the name Haliotis rubra (blacklip abalone). RNAcentral's name for it is "uncharacterized LOC124260167, transcript variant X1". The record is from RNAcentral. Lineage: Eukaryota; Metazoa; Mollusca; Gastropoda; Lepetellida; Haliotidae.
UACAACAUCAUCCAGACAGCAAACCAACACGUGUUUCAACCCGUCUGGUACAAGUUGUAGUCUUCCUGACAUAAGGAGCACUAACUAAUCUCAUCAGAAUCUAACCCGGUGGGUGUGUCUUGAUUAACCAUAACGAUUGUCUCAUACAUAUUGCUAGCACCAGAGGCAACUGGGAGCCGGUAAUGUUUGGCAAAAGUCUUGGCCGAUGCCCUGCCUGCUGUCCU